This 566-nucleotide ribosomal RNA is filed under the name bacterium. RNAcentral's name for it is "bacterial SSU rRNA". It matches the Rfam family "Bacterial small subunit ribosomal RNA", at positions 388 to 925 of the family's 1533-position model. The record is from RNAcentral.
CGAGCAACGCCGCGUGAGUGAAGAAGGUUUUCGGAUCGUAAAACUCUGUUGUUAGAGAAGAACAAGGAUGAGAGUAACUGUUCAUCCCUUGACGGUAUCUAACCAGAAAGCCACGGCUAACUACGUGCCAGCAGCCGCGGUAAUACGUAGGUGGCAAGCGUUGUCCGGAUUUAUUGGGCGUAAAGCGAGCGCAGGCGGUUUCUUAAGUCUGAUGUGAAAGCCCCCGGCUCAACCGGGGAGGGUCAUUGGAAACUGGGAGACUUGAGUGCAGAAGAGGAGAGUGGAAUUCCAUGUGUAGCGGUGAAAUGCGUAGAUAUAUGGAGGAACACCAGUGGCGAAGGCGGCUCUCUGGUCUGUAACUGACGCUGAGGCUCGAAAGCGUGUGGAGCAACAUGAUAGAUACCUGUAGUCCAAGCCCGUAACCGAUGAGUGGCUUAAGUGUUGAAAGGGUUUCGCGCCCUCAAGUGUGCUUCACAGCCUAACCGCAUUAAGGACAUCUCCGCCCUGGGGGAGGUAUACGCCCGCGCAAGUUGGAACUCUCAAGAGAAAUUGACCGGGGGGCCGCG